GUCCCUGCAGGGCCUGAGUACAGUGAGUACGGCACAUUAAGAAUUACAAAAAAAAAUCCCUUUAAUCUCCAUAAGAAACCUUGCAAGUUACCCGCAACAACCUCCAGAUCUGUCGCUCUCUCUCUCUCUCUCUCUCUCACACAGUCACUUUCUUUACAUUUCAUUGCUCUCUGCUUUACCUUCCUAUCCCCACCCCCUCUUAAUCCAAGCGCCUGUGCUUCAGUCUCCCACCACUCCCAGGUGUGACUAAUAGCUGGAGUUAAGUCCCUUUUUUUUUACCGGCUUGAAAAACACACAGCUCCUUCACAGAGAGCAAAAGGAUAGCAGUCAUCAUCUUCAAUAAGCCAUGGGACCUAGGUGGACUGAGUCACAAGUGACCCUGAUGAAUUCUCACCCGCUUUCCUCUCCCUCCCCUCAUUUAUCCUCCACCUGAUGCUGUCCUCAGACACAUCAGCGCAUGAUGCUCCAACACUGCCAUCUAACGGCAUUAGACAGCUGUGUGAUGUGCACAUACUCAGUUUAUGAGAGGAGGGUGAGGAUGAGGGUGCCCAUCAGUUCUGUUGCGCUGCCUCAGGCUGCAGUAGCCCCUCCUCUCGCUGAGCUGAGGUGUGACGGUCUGCACAGCGACUCACGCGCCCAUUUGCCUGUGAAAAGACUAUCACAGUUUAUGCUGCCAGAAAAAACGGAGAUCUCACUGUGUACCAAAAAGGCAAAGACUUGCUGCAUAUUAGUCGGACAAAAUAGAAAUGCAUGAAACUUGUCAUCGUGAGUAUAUGUGCUAUCAUUGAUUUAUUCCCGUAUCACGUGGUUUGUGCAUUCAUUUACAUUCUAAGGUAUCUGUCUGUAUCCUUCGCAAUGUAUUUCUAUUCUUGGAGCCAUAACAAGAUGUCAGAACGCAUCACCAUCGUGUGCUCGUUACUGUCACGCUCACGCUAAUCUUGGAUCCACUAGUUGAGUCAUGUCAGUUCGAAUGUGCUCAGUAGUCACCCUUUGUUAUCUGUGCAAACAGCUUUGAUGUCCCAUCAUGCCAUGUCAGAAAAGAGCCUCCUAUGUGAUGUAAACACAUGAAUUGUACGCGCUCAUUUGAUGUAUUCCGUAACAUCUGAUCAUCAGUCUUAUUAAUAGUAACAUUAGUCAGGAAGAUAUUGGUUUAAUUCUGAAUAAAAAUAAAGAUCUCUAGUUUUGGAAGAC
Etheostoma spectabile (orangethroat darter) is the source of this 1191-nucleotide long non-coding RNA. RefSeq lists it as uncharacterized. Lineage: Eukaryota; Metazoa; Chordata; Actinopteri; Perciformes; Percidae. The transcript is spliced from 2 exons. The record is from RefSeq and is a predicted model, not a curated record.